AUGCAGUCGCACGGACCUUUCGGGGUGAGUGGCGGACGGGUGAGUAUCGCGUAGGGAUCUAUCCAUGGGUGGGGGAUAACAUCGGGAAACUGGUGCUAAUACCGCAUGAUACCUGAGGGUCAAAGGCGCAAGUCGCCUGUGGAGGAGCCUGCGUUCGAUUAGCUUGUUGGUGGGGUAAAGGCCUACCAAGGCGAUGAUCGAUAGCUGGUCUGAGAGGAUGAUCAGCCACACUGGGACUGAGACACGGCCCAGACUCCUACGGGAGGCAGCAGUGGGGAAUAUUGGACAAUGGGCGAAAGCCUGAUCCAGCAAUGCCGCGUGUGUGAAGAAGGUCUUCGGAUUGUAAAGCACUUUCGACGGGGACGAUGAUGACGGUACCCGUAGAAGAAGCCCCGGCUAACUUCGUGCCAGCAGCCGCGGUAAUACGAAGGGGGCUAGCGUUGCUCGGAAUGACUGGGCGUAAAGGGCGCGUAGGCGGUUUACACAGUCAGAUGUGAAAUUCCAGGGCUUAACCUUGGGGCUGCAUUUGAUACGUGUAGACUAGAGUGUGAGAGAGGGUUGUGGAAUUCCCAGUGUAGAGGUGAAAUUCGUAGAUAUUGGGAAGAACACCGGUGGCGAAGGCGGCAACCUGGCUCAUUACUGACGCUGAGGCGCGAAAGCGUGGGGAGCAAACAGGAUUAGAUACCCUGGUAGUCCACGCUGUAAGCGAUGUGUGCUGGAUGUUGGGUAACUUAGUUACUCAGUGUCGAAGCUAACGCGCUAAGCACACC
RNAcentral lists this ribosomal RNA (770 nucleotides) under uncultured bacterium. RNAcentral's name for it is "bacterial SSU rRNA". It matches the Rfam family "Bacterial small subunit ribosomal RNA", at positions 55 to 870 of the family's 1533-position model. The record is from RNAcentral.